AUGUUUGUUGGGUGUGUGAGCCGAGUCUGGGGAGUGAUACGGCGGUCGGCGGCGGCUCAUCGCUGUUGUUCGUCCGGCGCAGCAGAGCGAGAGGGAGGUGGCGGCGCCCUCGCCGUUGCCAAGGAGGGAGGCGGACGAGGGGUGGUGUCUGGGCGUGAGCUCAUAGUUGGUGUGUGCGUGAGAUGAGAGGGAGAGAGAUGAAAUGGGGGUGGACGGCGGCUGGACAGCGGGGCUGUUCAGUGGAGGGAGGCAGGGCACGGCGGCUGUGCCGCUGCUGCCCGGCCACGAUUGGAGAGAAGGAGGUGGGCUGGUCGGAGCUGGUCUGGGUGGAGGGUUGAGCGGAGAACGACGGCGGCGGUGGUGGCAGUUUGGUGGCUGCUACUCGCUGGGAAUUUGAGGGCGGCGAUGGCGGUACCAUCGGCCAAGGUUGAGCCGAGGAGAGGGAGGAGCGUCGGCGGCGGCUCAGCUGCUGCCGAUCAGACCCAGGAGAGAGAGAGAUGGGAGACGGAGUCACCGGUCGGCGGCGGCUUUUGCUGCUGCAGUCGCCGGAAGGAAAGAGAAUGGAGGGGUCGAGGGUGAUGGUGAGGAUGACAGAGCGGCGCUCGUCGCCGGGGAUGGUGGUACGCGGCCGUGAAGUCCGAGAGAGAGGGAGAAGAGGAGGGGCGUCGAGAGAGGGGCGGCGUGUGUUGGUUUGUGUGUGUGGGGCACCUUGAGUGAAAUAAAGUCGAGGGAGUCGGGAGAGGGGUGACCGGCGACGCCUACCGCCGGAGGAGAGAAGAGGGCGAAGGGGGGUGCCUUGCAGCGCAGCUGCUGUGUGCUGUGUGCGUGUGUUUGUGUUCUGAAUGUGUGUGUGCGUGUGAUUAAGAGAGGGAGGAGAAAAGUAAUAGGGUUUGGGGUUUUGGGCCUGGAUUGUUGGGCUUUGGCUAUUGGGCCGGAAAAUGGAGAAGGAAAGAGUGAAUGGGCUUAAGUUGUUGGGUCGAUUUUUAAUUUUAUUUAGCUGGGCCCGAUUUAUUUUAUUCAGUCUGGGCCAUUCCUAUUUUAUUGAAUUGGGCCUCAUCUUUUAAUUGGUAUGGGCUAUUAUUUAUUUAAGCAUGAGCUCUAUUUCAUCUAUUUAAAUGGCUUCCCUAUUUUAUUUAAUUAGACUAAUAAUUAGUUUGAUUAAAUUAUUUUAAAGAUGAUUUGCAUUAUAAUAUUAUUAGCAUCAUGAAGUGAAUAUUUUCAAAUAAUUACUUAUUACAUUAUUAAAGUAUGAAAUGAGCUAUGCAUUUGCAUCAUGAUUUAAAUUGGUGUUAUUUAUAAUCAAUUAUUAAAGAAAGUCGAGUAAGAAUAUUGUUGGUGUUCUUAACUCAAGAGAAAUAUUUUUAAUUAUUUAUUCAUUAAAUUUUGAAAACCCGGCUAAGUGAAUCAUAGAAUAUUAAGCACUACACCAUGACUUAAGAUUAGAAUUCAAGGAGACCUAUUGAGAAUAGAUUUCUUGUAGGCUUUGUGAUGACCAGGAGGAUUAGCGCUAUUUUUCCAAGACAGGUUUAUAUGUGUAUGAUCUUCAGGCUUUGCCUAUCCAGGUGGGCUUACUUUCCAAAUGUACAAAGUAUGAUUGAGUUAUUAAGCUCUAAAUGUUUCAAUGAAAUGCAAAUUGUUUAUUUAAUGUAAUGAAAACUGUUUAUCCAAUAAAAUAUUUUGUGCACUCUGCUCUGUUUAAGGCUCGCAUAAGUUAAUCGAUCGAGGUUCUCUUAUGACCUAACACGUUGUUUGAGAAUUGUG
This 1761-nucleotide long non-coding RNA is filed under the name Salvia miltiorrhiza (redroot sage). RNAcentral describes it as "long non-coding RNA (SMIL_LNC001958)". The record is from RNAcentral. Lineage: Eukaryota; Viridiplantae; Streptophyta; Magnoliopsida; Lamiales; Lamiaceae.